UGGUGGUGGGGAUUUGUAGUAGUAUGGUGGGGGUGGAGAGUGGACUGGUGGUGGUGGGGACUUGUAAUAGUAUGGUGGAGGUGGUGAGGGAGAAGGUGGUGGUGGAGACUUGUAGUAGUAUGGUGGUGGGGACUUGUAAUAGUAUGGUGGAGGAGAUGGCGAUGGUGGUGGAGGAGAUUUGUAGAUGUAUGGGGGCUCCUCUACGUGUUUUGGUGGUGGUGGGGACUUGUAAUAGUAUGGUGGAGGUGGUGAGGGAGAAGGUGGUGGUGGAGACUUGUAGUAGUAUGGUGGUGGUGGGGAAUGAACUGGUGGUGGUGGGGACUUGUAAUAGUAUGGUGGUGGAGGAGAUGGCGAUGGUGGUGGAGGAGAUUUGUAGAUGUAUGGGGGCUUCUCUACGUGUUUUGGUGGUGGUGGAGACUUGUAAUAGUAUGGUGGAGGUGGUGAGGGAGAAGGUGGUGGUGGAGACUUGUAGUAGUAUGGUGGGGGUGGGGAGUGGACUGGUGGUGGUGGAGACUUGUAGUAGUAUGGUGGUGGUGGAGAAUGAACUGGUGGUGGUGGGGACUUGUAAUAGUAUGGUGGUGGAGGAGAUGGCGAUGGUGGUGGAGGAGAUUUGUAGAUGUAUGGGGGCUCCUCUACAUGUUUCGGUGGUGGUGGGGACUUGUAGUAGUA
This 669-nucleotide long non-coding RNA is filed under the name Gossypium barbadense (sea-island cotton). RNAcentral describes it as "long non-coding RNA (GBAR_LNC023459)". The record is from RNAcentral. Lineage: Eukaryota; Viridiplantae; Streptophyta; Magnoliopsida; Malvales; Malvaceae.